UCAUGAUCUCUUGCAAAGAUAUGGGCAUGUCGUUGCAGUUGACCUGACAAACAAGCAAGGUGAUGAGGGUCUAUUAAGUGCAGCUUAUGCAACAGAAAUCCAAAAGCUGUCAAGUGUGAGAUAUGUGUCGUUUGACUUUCAUCACUGUUGUGGAGGCUCAAACUUUGACAACAUACAACUUCUAUAUGAUCAGAUUGCAGAGGAUUUUGAAAAAAAUGGGUAAGAAUUAAACUAGACCAACAGUGUAAUUGCUUGCCAGGAAAAGACACUUCCAUUUGAGAAUGUUUAAUAUCCAUAAUACUGUUUUUUCUUGCUAAAAUUCACUAAUCCAGCUGAGCAGAUACUUUCUCAUAGACACAGACGAGAAG
This 368-nucleotide unclassified non-coding RNA is filed under the name Hevea brasiliensis (rubber tree). Lineage: Eukaryota; Viridiplantae; Streptophyta; Magnoliopsida; Malpighiales; Euphorbiaceae. The record is from RNAcentral.